RNAcentral lists this ribosomal RNA (423 nucleotides) under uncultured bacterium. RNAcentral's name for it is "bacterial SSU rRNA". It matches the Rfam family "Bacterial small subunit ribosomal RNA", at positions 355 to 774 of the family's 1533-position model. The record is from RNAcentral.
UGAGGAAUAUUGGUCAAUGGGCGCAAGCCUGAACCAGCCAUCCCGCGUGCAGGAUGACGGCCCUAUGGGUUGUAAACUGCUUUUAUACACCAAGAAAAAGCACGACGAGUCGUGCCCUGACGGUAGUGUAUGAAUAAGCAUCGGCUAACUCCGUGCCAGCAGCCGCGGUAAUACGGAGGAUGCGAGCGUUAUCCGGAUUCAUUGGGUUUAAAGGGUGCGUAGGCGGCCUUUUAAGUCAGUGGUGAAAUCUUGCCGCUUAACGGUAAAAUUGCCAUUGAUACUGAAAGGCUUGAGUACAGUUGAGGUAAGCGGAAUGUGUAGUGUAGCGGUGAAAUGCUUAGAUAUUACACAGAACACCAAUUGCGAAGGCAGCUUACUAAACUGGCAACUGACGCUGAUGCACGAAAGCGUGGGGAGCGAACA